UUGACAUUGUACGUUGUUGUCCGUCAACCCCCAGCUUCUACUGGGCCUGCUUGAUUAGCAUGUUUCCUUGGUAGGAAUAUCUGUGCUGCUUCUCAGCCUCCUCGCCCUCGCCUUCUAAGAGGUAACUGCUGCCGAAGGUCAGGCCAACAACCGGUACCCGGUUGCUCCUAAUGGUCCAGAUCUGGGGUGCCUACUAUGUGCCAGCUACGUGUCCCAUUUUCCACGUAGCUAGAAAACCCAGUGAAAUGGCUUUCACCUUCACUUCAUGACAGAAAACGGAGUUCUGAAAGGAAACAAUGAGGCACGGACCAUUGGUAAAUGGAAAUAGUUUGCACCAUUUUGGAAUUCUAAAGAAGAAUGGCACAGCACAAUGAAUUGUAAAUCUUCCACUCUGGAUCAUGCUAAACUCUUCCAAAUGUAUUUCCUGGAUGAUUUAGUCCUCAUUUCUUCCCAUCUGAACCUGAAACUGGUGAUUAACCAGGGCCCUCGUUUAUACUUGUCUUAAAAUCCCACCAUAAACUCAAUCAGUUGUUCGACAAAUGUUUUACUGCCUUGAUUUGUGGACUCGCCCAAAUGAGACUUCCCCUCACGUCCAAGGAGGCUGGCCUGGAGGAAGCCAAAAUGUCCGAGGAUAAUGUUUAAAGAUCUCACCACAGAUUUGGACGUUCUCGCUCCCUCCACCAACUCCACACGUUGCAGUUUUCAAGCCCCCUUUCUGCCCAGGCUGCUGAGCCUGCUGAGCCGAGGCGGAGCAUCCAGCCAGUGGACUGAAGGCUCGAACACAAUGAUUUUAUUUUCUGUAACCAACAGCACCAAUACCUAGGAAAAAUAGGCUAUUUUUACAUAAUGACAUAACUUGCUGCACACGUUAAGGCGCUCCAUUUGUUAA
This is a long non-coding RNA of Canis lupus familiaris (dog), 889 nucleotides long. RefSeq lists it as uncharacterized. The record is from RefSeq and is a predicted model, not a curated record. NCBI's taxonomy places the organism in Eukaryota, Metazoa, Chordata, Mammalia, Carnivora, Canidae. The transcript has 4 exons.